RNAcentral lists this transfer RNA (72 nucleotides) under Camelus bactrianus (Bactrian camel). It matches the Rfam family "tRNA". Rfam says of the family: Transfer RNA (tRNA) molecules are approximately 80 nucleotides in length. Their secondary structure includes four short double-helical elements and three loops (D, anti-codon, and T loops). The record is from Rfam by way of RNAcentral. RNAcentral also lists the same sequence under 1 other name. Lineage: Eukaryota; Metazoa; Chordata; Mammalia; Artiodactyla; Camelidae.
AAGGGUAUAGUCCAGCUGUAGAACGCAUGCUUUGCAUGCAUGAGAUCUGGGUACUGAUCCCCAUUACCUCUG